UCCCUGAUGGUCCAGUGGUUAAGACUCUGUGCUCCCAGUGUAGGGGCCUGGGUUAGAUUCCUAAUUGGGGAA
Molecule: transfer RNA, 72 nt
Filed under: Bos taurus (domestic cattle)
Lineage: Eukaryota; Metazoa; Chordata; Mammalia; Artiodactyla; Bovidae
Also listed under: 5 other names
Rfam family: tRNA
About the family: Transfer RNA (tRNA) molecules are approximately 80 nucleotides in length. Their secondary structure includes four short double-helical elements and three loops (D, anti-codon, and T loops).
Source: Rfam by way of RNAcentral